This 464-nucleotide ribosomal RNA is filed under the name Vreelandella stevensii. RNAcentral describes it as "partial 16S ribosomal RNA". It matches the Rfam family "Bacterial small subunit ribosomal RNA", at positions 338 to 794 of the family's 1533-position model. Lineage: Bacteria; Pseudomonadati; Pseudomonadota; Gammaproteobacteria; Oceanospirillales; Halomonadaceae. The record is from RNAcentral.
CCUACGGGGGGCAGCAGUGGGGAAUAUUGGACAAUGGGCGAAAGCCUGAUCCAGCCAUGCCGCGUGUGUGAAGAAGGCCUUCGGGUUGUAAAGCACUUUCAGUGGGGAAGAAAGCCUUGGGGCUAAUACCCUCGAGGAAGGACAUCACCCACAGAAGAAGCACCGGCUAACUCCGUGCCAGCAGCCGCGGUAAUACGGAGGGUGCGAGCGUUAAUCGGAAUUACUGGGCGUAAAGCGCGCGUAGGCGGUCUGAUAAGCCGGUUGUGAAAGCCCCGGGCUCAACCUGGGAACGGCAUCCGGAACUGUCAGGCUAGAGUGCAGGAGAGGAAGGUAGAAUUCCCGGUGUAGCGGUGAAAUGCGUAGAGAUCGGGAGGAAUACCAGUGGCGAAGGCGGCCUUCUGGACUGACACUGACGCUGAGGUGCGAAAGCGUGGGUAGCAAACAGGAUUAGAUACCCCAGUAGC